CACGUAGGGGGCGAGCGUUGUUCGGAAUUACUGGGCGUAAAGGGCAUGUAGGCGGCUUGGUAAGCCUGGCGUGAAAGACUGCAGCUUAACUGUAGGGAUGCGUUGGGAACUGCUUAGCUUGAGUUACGGAGAGGGAGCUGGAAUUCCUGGUGUAGGGGUGAAAUCUGUAGAUAUCAGGAAGAACACCGAUGGCGAAGGCAAGCUUCUGGUCGAUAACUGACGCUGAGGUGCGAAAGUGUGGGGAUCAAACAGGAUUAGAUACCCUGGUAGUCCACACUGUAAACGAUGUGCACGAGGUGCUGGGGCGGUAGUUUCAGUGCCGGAGCGAACGCGGUAAGUGCACCGCCUGGGGAGUAUGCUCGCAAGGGUGAA
This 372-nucleotide ribosomal RNA is filed under the name uncultured bacterium. RNAcentral's name for it is "bacterial SSU rRNA". It matches the Rfam family "Bacterial small subunit ribosomal RNA", at positions 524 to 898 of the family's 1533-position model. The record is from RNAcentral.